CGGUAGAAGAGCCAGAGGGGGGUGUUUUGAAGACAUUUAAUAGAGAUUUUACGGU
RNAcentral lists this transfer RNA (55 nucleotides) under Polyacanthorhynchus caballeroi. RNAcentral's name for it is "tRNA-Ser". The record is from RNAcentral. Lineage: Eukaryota; Metazoa; Acanthocephala; Polyacanthocephala; Polyacanthorhynchidae.